RNAcentral lists this ribosomal RNA (324 nucleotides) under uncultured archaeon. RNAcentral's name for it is "bacterial SSU rRNA". It matches the Rfam family "Archaeal small subunit ribosomal RNA", at positions 321 to 648 of the family's 1478-position model. The record is from RNAcentral.
CCCUACGGGGCGCAGCAGGCGCGAAAACUUCGCACUGUGGGAAACCACGACGAGGGAAUUCCAAGUGCUUAUACAUUGUAUAAGCUGUUUAUUUGUCUAAAAACAAGUAGAGUAAGGGCUGGGUAAGACGGGUGCCAGCCGCCGCGGUAAUACCCGCAGCCCAAGUGGUGCUCUUUAUUAUUGAGUCUAAAACGUCCGUAGCCGGCUUGGUAAAUUCUUGGGGAAAUCGAACGGCUUAACUGUUCGAAGUCCGGGGAGACUGCCAGGCUUGGGAUCGGGGGAGGUUUGAGGUACUUUAAGGGUAGGGGUGAAAUCCUGUAAUCC